RNAcentral lists this long non-coding RNA (1554 nucleotides) under Canis lupus familiaris (dog). Its description in RNAcentral is "lncRNA (ENSCAFG00040013670.1)". Lineage: Eukaryota; Metazoa; Chordata; Mammalia; Carnivora; Canidae. The record is from RNAcentral.
GUUGUGUGCCUGGGCCCUCUGGGCAGCUCUGCGGCCAACCUCAGUGAGUCCAGGUCAGGCUGGACGUGGAUCCCGGAGCUGUUUCAGCUGCUAUCAGGAUGGGGACAGAAAGGGUCAUGCCCAAGUCCGGUGUUCGCCCCCAGGGUGGCCGAGAGCCCCUGCUGUGUUGGGAGGUGGGUGGCAUGGCAGCAGGGGCUCCCUAUUGAGCAGGACCAGGAGAAGAGUGUGGGGAGGGCCAAGUGGGCUCCAGCAAGUCUGGCUUUCCAUUUCCUGCACGCUCAAGUCCAAGCUCCCUAUUUUUUAUUUUUUAUUUUUUACUUAUUUAUUUGUUUUAAGUCCAAGCUCCUGAGCAUGACACGCAACACUCCCGGCCGGCAGGGAAGUGAGGGCUCAGUAGACUUUCCCCACCGAGUCCAGUGUACCCACAUCCCCUGCUUCACGACCCGCAUUAGCCCAGGAGGCCCCCAGAUGUGAGAGAAAGGCACCUAAGUGGUCACAGCCCUGUGGGUUCUGGGGUUGGCUGGCAGAAGCAUGUUUGGGUGUAAAUUAGAAAAAGAAAACACUCCUUCUUCCUGGUCACAGCUCACACCAGAGUGCACAGCUGGAUUUCAAUGUGCCCUUGUCCGCCCAGGCCCGGAGGCCCGGCCAACCAGGCUAGAUCCCAGAUGAGGAAGCAGGCCCAGAGAGGCACAUGGCCUUGCCCAAAGUCACACAGGCCCACACCCAGGACUCAGUUUCUGACUUCAAUGUAGAGGAUGCCUCCCAAUUUACACCCCCCCCCCCCGCACCUGUCCCCGAACUCAGCUGGGCAGCCUUGAGGCUACCCUGCCCCCAUCCUGUACAGAAGCACUUUUUGAAAUUUUCCGGGUGCAUCUGGCACUGACCCCAUGUUCUGGCCUGUUCUAGUGCCCAAGGCCAUGAGAAAAGGCCUGUACAGGGCUUUUUCCCUUCCCCAGACCCACGACCUGCAGAGAUUCGGCCCCUGGGGCCUUUGCCAGGGACCUCAUGGGGAACGGCUGCCUGACUUCCUGUUUUCAUAUUCUUUCCUCCUCUGCUUGUUUUUCUACUUUGUUGUUCUUUGGUCCCUUUUGGUUCUCCUCCCCUAGCCCACCCUGCAAAACCAAACUUCAUUUUAUUGUGAUUAUUUUAAAUCCAUGUUUAGACAGGAAGACUUCACCCCUUCUUGUUUCCAUUUGAGGAACUGGAGCGGGGCCUGGCCCCCCCCACCCUGCCCGCUUUCUCUCCCUCCUCGUUCCCUGUGGUUUAUUUCCCAAAGGAGCGUCUUCAGGUCCCACAGCAAAGAAGAAACAGCCUCAGAAGCUGUGCCUGCGAGGACUGUGUGAAUUCAGGAUUCCGGCUGUACUAGAAAUUUCUCUUUUGCUGUCAUUGUGGGCAGAAGGGAAGGGAUCUGCUAGCUAUCCACCCCCCCCCAUGUUGUUAUUAGCUCCCUAAAACAGAAGAUACAGUCUCUGCUUAGAGACUCCCCACUUAGAGGCUCCCCACUUCCUCCAAGGUCAAGUCUGAAUUCGUUAGACCACAUCCAAGACCCUUCAA